This 85-nucleotide transfer RNA is filed under the name Armatimonadota bacterium. RNAcentral's name for it is "Armatimonadetes bacterium tRNA-Cys". It matches the Rfam family "tRNA". From Rfam's summary of the family: Transfer RNA (tRNA) molecules are approximately 80 nucleotides in length. Lineage: Bacteria; Bacillati; Armatimonadota. The record is from RNAcentral.
GCGGCAGUGCCCGAGCGGAAGAAGGGAGCAGUUUGCAAAACUGACGGCUUAGUUGCCCGCGUCGGUUCGAAUCCGACCUGCCGCU